Molecule: ribosomal RNA, 274 nt
Filed under: uncultured bacterium
Lineage: Bacteria
Description: partial 16S ribosomal RNA
Rfam family: Bacterial small subunit ribosomal RNA
Source: RNAcentral
AUACGGAGGGGGCUAGCGUUGUUCGGAAUUACUGGGCGUAAAGCGCGCGUAGGCGGCCAGUCAAGUCGGGGGUGAAAGCCCGGGGCUCAACCCCGGAACGGCCCUCGAAACUGAUUGGCUCGAGACCGGGAGAGGAGAGUGGAAUUCCCAGUGUAGAGGUGAAAUUCGUAGAUAUUGGGAAGAACACCAGUGGCGAAGGCGGCUCUCUGGACCGGACCUGACGCUGAGGCGCGAAAGCGUGGGGAGCAAACAGGAUUAGAAACCCCGGUAGUCC